CCAGAGCCUGAAUCAGUAUGUGUGUUAGUGGAAGCGUCUGGAAAGGCGCGCGAUACAGGGUGACAGCCCCGUACACAAAAAUGCACAUGCUGUGAGCUCGAUGAGUAGGGCGGGACACGUGGUAUCCUGUCUGAAUAUGGGGGGACCAUCCUCCAAGGCUAAAUACUCCUGACUGACCGAUAGUGAACCAGUACCGUGAGGGAAAGGCGAAAAGAACCCCGGCGAGGGGAGUGAAAAAGAACCUGAAACCGUGUACGUACAAGCAGUGGGAGCACGCUUAGGCGUGUGACUGCGUACCUUUUGUAUAAUGGGUCAGCGACUUAUAUUCUGUAGCAAGGUUAACCGAAUAGGGGAGCCGAAGGGAAACCGAGUCUUAACUGGGCGUUAAGUUGCAGGGUAUAGACCCGAAACCCGGUGAUCUAGCCAUGGGCAGGUUGAAGGUUGGGUAACACUAACUGGAGGACCGAACCGACUAAUGUUGAAAAAUUAGCGGAUGACUUGUGGCUGGGGGUGAAAGGCCAAUCAAACCGGGAGAUAGCUGGUUCUCCCCGAAAGCUAUUUAGGUAGCGCCUCGUGAAUUCAUCUCCGGGGGUAGAGCACUGUUUCGGCAAGGGGGUCAUCCCGACUUACCAACCCGAUGCAAACUGCGAAUACCGGAGAAUGUUAUCACGGGAGACACACGGCGGGUGCUAACGUCCGUCGUGAAGAGGGAAACAACCCAGACCGCCAGCUAAGGUCCCAAAGUCAUGGUUAAGUGGGAAACGAUGUGGGAAGGCCCAGACAGCCAGGAUGUUGGCUUAGAAGCAGCCAUCAUUUAAAGAAAGCGUAAUAGCUCACUGGUCGAGUCGGCCUGCGCGGAAGAUGUAACGGGGCUAAACCAUGCAC
RNAcentral lists this ribosomal RNA (885 nucleotides) under Escherichia coli. RNAcentral's name for it is "partial 23S ribosomal RNA". It matches the Rfam family "Bacterial large subunit ribosomal RNA", at positions 296 to 1194 of the family's 2925-position model. Lineage: Bacteria; Pseudomonadati; Pseudomonadota; Gammaproteobacteria; Enterobacterales; Enterobacteriaceae. The record is from RNAcentral.